UAGUCAUAUGCUCCGCGCCACGCCUAAGCCAUGCAUGUCCCGUCCCGCCUCGCCCGACUGCGCCCAGCUCCGCACACCGGUUUCUCUGCACCGCACCAUCCYCUCCUAGUCGGUCCACGCUGGGAAACUAGCGCCCUGCCGUGCACACGCCCGCAGACGCAGCACUCUGCCCGCCAACCGCCACGCGGCACGUGCGCCCGGAUUCCGCCCCAUCAACCCCGCCGUCUUGUCUUUGCCCACGGCAGUCCUGACGGGUCACGGAGGAUUCGGGUCCGACUCCGGAGAGUGAGCCUGCCAGACAGCUCACACGUCCAUGGACGGCAGCAGGCGCGCAACCUACCCACUCCUCGCUGAGGGAGGUGGUGACGCCCAGUCCCGCGUGUCUGCACAGCAGCACUCGGCACGGCCCCCGCACAUCACACCCGGCCACCCCAGAAGAGGGCAAGUCUGGUGCCAGCAGCCGCGGUAAUUCCAGCUCUUCUCGUGUAUAUUAACGCUGCUGCGUUUAAAGCGCCCGUAGUCGCACACGCCGUCCCCAUAAGGAACUUGGAGCGCCCGUUGCCGACGUUGUCUGGCACGCUUCAGUAUGGUCCGACCACCACAGAGAGGGGCGGUCCGGGGCACUAGUACUGGGCCGUGAGAGGUAAAAUCCUAUGAUCGCCCCAAGACUGUCCGAGGCGAAGGCGUCUGCCACGCACGCUUUCUUUGAUCAAGGACGAGAGUUGGGCGAGAGAAGGAGAUCAGACACCUCCGUAUUCCCAACCGUAAACGAUGCCGACCCGCAGUGCGCCUGUCGCAUGGCACGUGCGCUGCACCCGAGUAAUCCUGAGUGUCCAGGCCACGGGGGGAGUAUGGUCGCAAGGCAGAAACUUAAAGGAAUUGACGGAAGGGCGCCACAAUCGGCGUGGAGCCUGCGGCUUAAUUGGAUUCAACGCCGCGCACCUCACCAGGCCCAGACCCGCCGGGGAUUGACAGACUGAAGCUCUUUCGCGAUUGCGGGAGUGGUGGUGCAUGGCCGUUCUCAGUUCGUGGGGUGACCCCUCUGCUCAACUGCGACAACGGACGAGACCUCCUCCCCUGCGAUGCGGGGGGACACGUGCCGAGAGGCGCGGGAGGCGCGAGGCAAUAACAGGUCUGUGAUGCCCUUCGAUGGAUCUCUGGGCCGCACGCGUGCUACAAUGCCGGAGACAGAGGGUGUCCAAGUCCGAGUGGACGAGGGAUCCUCGAGUGUCCCGCGUGGUUGGGAUCGACGUCUGCAACUUUCCGUCGUGAACCCGGAAUGCCUCGUAAGCGCGUGUCACCAUCGCGCGCUGAAUGCGUCCCCGCCCUUUGUACACACCGCCCGUCGCUCCUACCGAUUGGACGUUGCGGUGAGCUGUCCGGACGCACUGCGGAAGCCCCGCGAUCCCCCGCGUCUAGAGGAAGGAGAAGUCGUAACAAGGUUUCC
This 1447-nucleotide ribosomal RNA is filed under the name Chilomastix wenrichi. Its description in RNAcentral is "small subunit ribosomal RNA". It matches the Rfam family "Eukaryotic small subunit ribosomal RNA". The record is from RNAcentral. Lineage: Eukaryota; Fornicata; Retortamonadidae.